GAUGAACGCUGGCGGCGUGCCUAAUACAUGCAAGUCGAGCGAACAGACGAGGAGCUUGCUCCUCUGACGUUAGCGGCGGACGGGUGAGUAACACGUGGAUAACCUACCUAUAAGACUGGGAUAACUUCGGGAAACCGGAGCUAAUACCGGAUAAUAUAUUGAACCGCAUGGUUCAAUAGUGAAAGACGGUUUUGCUGUCACUUAUAGAUGGAUCCGCGCCGCAUUAGCUAGUUGGUAAGGUAACGGCUUACCAAGGCAACGAUGCGUAGCCGACCUGAGAGGGUGAUCGGCCACACUGGAACUGGGACACGGUCCAGACUCCUAGGGGGGGCAGCAGUGGGGAAUCGCCCGCAGGGGGCGAAAGCCGGAGGGGGCAACGCCGGGGGGGUGGUGAGGGUCUUGGGAUCGUAAAACUCUUUUAUUGGGGAAGAAAAAAUGGGUAAGUAACUAUGCCCGUCUGGGCGGUACCUAAUCAGAAAGCCCCGGCUAACUACGG
RNAcentral lists this ribosomal RNA (496 nucleotides) under uncultured bacterium. Its description in RNAcentral is "partial 16S ribosomal RNA". It matches the Rfam family "Bacterial small subunit ribosomal RNA", at positions 28 to 506 of the family's 1533-position model. The record is from RNAcentral.